GACAGCAGCCGCCGCGGGAACACGAAGGGUGCAAGCGUUAAUCGGAAUUACUGGGCGUAAAGCGUGCGUAGGCGGUGAGUUAAGUCUGCUGUGAAAUCCCCGGGCUCAACCUGGGAAUGGCAGUGGAUACUGGCUCGCUAGAGUGUGUCAGAGGAUGGUGGAAUUCCCGGUGUAGCGGUGAAAUGCGUAGAGAUCGGGAGGAACAUCAGUGGCGAAGGCGGCCAUCUGGGACAACACUGACGCUGAGGCACGAAAGCGUGGGGAGCAAACAGGAUUAGAUACCCGGGUAGUCCCUGUCUCUUAUAA
This 306-nucleotide ribosomal RNA is filed under the name uncultured bacterium. Its description in RNAcentral is "partial 16S ribosomal RNA". It matches the Rfam family "Bacterial small subunit ribosomal RNA", at positions 507 to 809 of the family's 1533-position model. The record is from RNAcentral.